RNAcentral lists this transfer RNA (71 nucleotides) under Ameiurus melas (black bullhead). It matches the Rfam family "tRNA". Rfam says of the family: Transfer RNA (tRNA) molecules are approximately 80 nucleotides in length. Their secondary structure includes four short double-helical elements and three loops (D, anti-codon, and T loops). The record is from Rfam by way of RNAcentral. Lineage: Eukaryota; Metazoa; Chordata; Actinopteri; Siluriformes; Ictaluridae.
GCAUUGGUGGUUCAGUGGUAGAAUACUAGCUUGCCAUGUUGGAGACCUAGGUUCGAUUCCCAGCCAAUGCA